AUCUACAGCCAUACCACCCUGAAUGUAGCUGAUCUUGUCUGGUCUCAGAAGCUAAGCAAGGUUGGGCGUGCUUAGUACUUGGGUGGGAGAAAAUAUAAUGUUUUAUGAU
Molecule: ribosomal RNA, 109 nt
Filed under: Nomascus leucogenys (northern white-cheeked gibbon)
Lineage: Eukaryota; Metazoa; Chordata; Mammalia; Primates; Hylobatidae
Source: RNAcentral